This 497-nucleotide ribosomal RNA is filed under the name uncultured bacterium. Its description in RNAcentral is "partial 16S ribosomal RNA". It matches the Rfam family "Bacterial small subunit ribosomal RNA", at positions 28 to 507 of the family's 1533-position model. The record is from RNAcentral.
GAUGAACGCUGGCGGCGUGCCUAAUACAUGCAAGUCGAGCGAACGGAUCAGAAGUUUUCUCCUCUGAUUUUAGCAGCGGACGGGUGAUUAACUUUUGUAUAACCUACCUAUAAGACUGGGAUAACUUCGCGAAACAGGAGCUAAUACCGAAUAAUAUUUUGAACCGCAUGGUUCAAAAUUGAAAUACGGUCUUGCUGUCAUUUAUAGAUGCAUCCGCGCUGCAUUAUCUAGUUGGUAAGGUAACGGCUUACCAAGGCAACGAUGGAUAGCCGACCUGACAGGGUGAUCGGCCAGCCUGGAACUGAGAAACGGUCCAGACUCCUACGGGAGGCAGCAGUAGGGAAUCUUCCGCAAGGGGCGAAAGCCUGACGGAGCAACGCCGCGUGAGGGAUGAAGGUCUUCGGAUCGUAAAACGCUGUUAUUAGGGAAGAACAUAUGUGUAAGUAACUGUGCAGAUCUUGACGGUACCUAAUCAGAAAGCCACGGCUAACUACGUG